Molecule: ribosomal RNA, 119 nt
Filed under: Vigna radiata var. radiata (mung bean)
Lineage: Eukaryota; Viridiplantae; Streptophyta; Magnoliopsida; Fabales; Fabaceae
Source: RNAcentral
AGGUGCGAUCAUACCAACACUAAUGCNCGAGAUCCCAUUAGNACUCCGCAGGGAAGGGUGCUUGGGCGAGAGUANUACUAGGAUGGGUGACCUCCUUGGAAGUCCUCGUGUUGUACAUU